RNAcentral lists this microRNA precursor (105 nucleotides) under Eutrema salsugineum. RNAcentral describes it as "MIR400 microRNA precursor family". It matches the Rfam family "MIR400 microRNA precursor family". Lineage: Eukaryota; Viridiplantae; Streptophyta; Magnoliopsida; Brassicales; Brassicaceae. The record is from Rfam by way of RNAcentral.
GGAAGAUUGUUUAUGAGAGUAUUAUAAGUCACUACAUUUUGGUAGACCCAAGUGUUGUUUUCCCAAACGAAGUGACUUAUAAUACUCUCAUGAAUGGAUUUUGCA